AACGAACGCUGGCGGCGUGGAUUAGGCAUGCAAGUCGAACGAUUCUGCAGGCGUAGCAAUAUGUUUGCAGGAGAGUGGCGUAAGGGUGAGUAACGCGCGGGUAAUCUACCUCGAAGUUGGGAACAGCCCGGCGAAAGCUGGGUUAAUACCGAAUGUGGUCGUCUGCCGCAUGGCGGACUGUCUAAAGGCGGGGAUCGCAAGACCUGUCGCUUCGAGAUGAGCCCACGUCCUAUCAGCUUGUUGGUAGGGUAACGGCCUACCAAGGCUUACGGGUAGCUGGUCUGAGAGGAUGGUCAGCCACACUGGGACUGAGACACUGCCCAGACUCCUACGGGAGGCUG
RNAcentral lists this ribosomal RNA (341 nucleotides) under uncultured Lentisphaerota bacterium. RNAcentral's name for it is "bacterial SSU rRNA". It matches the Rfam family "Bacterial small subunit ribosomal RNA", at positions 29 to 351 of the family's 1533-position model. Lineage: Bacteria; Pseudomonadati; Lentisphaerota. The record is from RNAcentral.